AAUUUUAAGGUCAAGCUACAAAGGGCGCAUGGUGAAUGCCUUGGCACUAGGAGCCGAAGAAGGACGCGAUAAGCUGCGAUAAGCCUUGGGUAGCCGCAAAUAGGCUGAGAUCCAGGGAUUUCCGAAUGAGGAAACUCACAUGGGUAACCCCAUGUAUCAUGCACUGAAUACAUAGGUGUAUGAGGGUAAACCCGGGGAACUGAAACAUCUAAGUACCCGGAGGAAGAGAAAGAAAAAUCGAUUUCCUAAGUAGCGGCGAGCGAACGGGAAAGAGCCCAAACCAGAAACUUGUUUCUGGGGUUGUGGAUAGAUCAUGAAAGAAGAGGUAUCUUAAUCGAAGAGGGCUGGAACGCCCUACCAUAGAAGGUAAUAGUCCUGUAGAUAAAAAGAGAAAACUU
This 398-nucleotide ribosomal RNA is filed under the name Clostridium botulinum. RNAcentral describes it as "partial 23S ribosomal RNA". It matches the Rfam family "Bacterial large subunit ribosomal RNA", at positions 1 to 395 of the family's 2925-position model. Lineage: Bacteria; Bacillati; Bacillota; Clostridia; Eubacteriales; Clostridiaceae. The record is from RNAcentral.